Molecule: ribosomal RNA, 253 nt
Filed under: uncultured bacterium
Lineage: Bacteria
Description: partial 16S ribosomal RNA
Rfam family: Bacterial small subunit ribosomal RNA
Source: RNAcentral
UACGGAGGAGGCAAGCGUUAUCCGGAAUUACUGGGCGUAAAGCGUCCGCAGGUGGCUCUGUAAGUCUGUCGUUAAAGAAUGGGGCUCAACCCCAUACAGGCGAUGGAAACUACAAGGCUAGAGUUUGGUAGGGGUCACGGGAAUUCCUAGUGUAGCGGUGAAAUGCGUAGAUAUUAGGAAGAACACCAGCGGCGAAAGCGCGUGACUGGGCCAGUACUGACACUCAUGGACGAAAGCUAGGGGAGCGAAAGGG